AUGCAUUGUGUUGCCAAGUUUCGUAUUUCUGGGGCGUUUAGUUGUGUUGUUAUAGUCACGAUGCGUUGUUGUGAGUUUUGUGGGUGUUGUGUGGUUUUGUGGUGUGGUUGUGUUGUUACAACUGGGAGGCAAGGCUUUUGCAUUGUGUUGCCAAGUUUUGUAUUUCUGGGGUGUUUAGUUGUGUUGUUAUCACAUGAUGUGUUGUUGUGAGUUUUGUGGGUCUGGAUUGUGGUUUUGUGGUGUGGUUGUGUUGUUGUAACCUGGAGGCAAGCCUUUUGCAUUGUGUUGCCAAAUUUCGUAUUUCUGGGAUGUUUAGUUUUGUUGUUAUAGUCACUGCGCAAACAACUUUAUCAUUUUAUAUAUAUAGAUAUCUGUAAUAGUUUUAUGCAUGAAACAAAGUAUGUGUAUACUACACAAUCAGAAAGUAUAGGUGUCACUAGCUAAACAAUUUGGACAAUUUUGGAUUUUUGGGGAAUUCAGAAUUCAUGAUAAGGGAUGUUCAACCUGUAUUUUGUUUCCAAAGGUGGUCUGAAUCCUUUCUAAGAAUUUCAGAGGUAUCUAGAUAAAAGCAGAGACUGUUUGUGCUAUUUGUUGGGGAUUGUGGAUGAUAGAUGGAAGCUCUUACAUGUGCCUGUGAGCCCAGAGACACCCUGAAGAAUGAUGCACCACUCAGCUUUGCAGAAUAAAUAACACAGGAACUUUUACUGAAUCCAAAAGAUCAACAGAACAGUGGUAUUUACAAUAGUCCCUCUGAUUGCUUACAUAAUCCUUUUCUUAGUUCAUGAGACUGCUUCAGUGAAGAUCCGCAGCAAACAAGGCCUCAGAAAUAGUUAGGCCUCUCUGAGUACAGAGCCAUCUUCUUUCCAGCUAGUACUCAGAAGACUCACAGAGAGAGGGGGGGGGCUGUUCAAACCGGUUCUCCAGCAGCUGGAUAGCAACAUUUACAAAACCAAUUCCCCAGGUCCUUGCAAACUCAGCCAAUUGGCUCCAUGCAUUUGAUUUUCCAGUUAAUAAUAAUAAUAAUAAAAUAAUAAUAAUAAUAAUAAUAAUAAUAAUAAUAAUAAUAAUAAUAAUUUUAUUCUUGUACCCCGCCCCAUCUCCCCGAAGGGACUCGGGGCGGCUCACAUGGGGCCUUGCCCAAACAUCACAAUAUAAAAACAAAACAAAAAACACAAGUUUACAACAAUAAAUCAACAC
This 1197-nucleotide long non-coding RNA is filed under the name Anolis carolinensis (green anole). RNAcentral's name for it is "lncRNA (ENSACAG00000041841.1)". The record is from RNAcentral. Lineage: Eukaryota; Metazoa; Chordata; Lepidosauria; Squamata; Anolidae.